AUACGGAGGGGGCUAGCGUUGUUCGGAAUUACUGGGCGUAAAGCGCAUGUAGGUGGUGUGGCAAGUUAGAGGUGUAAGGCCUGGGCUCAACCUGGGAACUGCCUUUAAUACUGUCACGCUAGAGUUCGGGAGAGGGUAGCGGAAUUCCAAGUGUAGAGGUGAAAUUCGUAGAUAUUUGGAAGAACACCGGUGGCGAAGGCGGCUACCUGGACCGACACUGACACUGAGAUGCGAAAGCGUGGGGAGCGAACAGGAUUAGAUACCCUAGUAGUCC
Molecule: ribosomal RNA, 274 nt
Filed under: uncultured bacterium
Lineage: Bacteria
Description: partial 16S ribosomal RNA
Rfam family: Bacterial small subunit ribosomal RNA
Source: RNAcentral